GUAGUGGAGCGGUUUAACACGCCUGCCUGUCACGCAGGAGAUCGCGGGUUCGAUUCCCGUCGGGACCGCCA
RNAcentral lists this transfer RNA (71 nucleotides) under Staphylococcus pseudintermedius. RNAcentral's name for it is "tRNA-Asp". It matches the Rfam family "tRNA". Rfam says of the family: Transfer RNA (tRNA) molecules are approximately 80 nucleotides in length. Their secondary structure includes four short double-helical elements and three loops (D, anti-codon, and T loops). Lineage: Bacteria; Bacillati; Bacillota; Bacilli; Caryophanales; Staphylococcaceae. The record is from RNAcentral.